CGUACACUCCUACGGGAGGCAGCAGUGGGGAAUUUUACGCAAUGGGGGAAACCCUGACGUAGCGACACCGCGUGAGCGAAGAAGCCCUUUGGGGUGUAAAGCUCUGUCAGCUGGAACGAAAACAAUGACGGUACCAGCAGAGGAAGCAUCGGCUAACUACGUGCCAGCAGCCGCGGUAAGACGUAGGAUGCGAGCGUUGUCCGGAUUUAUUGGGCGUAAAGAGUUCGUAGGUGGUUUGUUAAGUUUGGUGUUAAAGAUCGGGGCUCAACCCUGGGACUGCACUGAAUACUGGCAGACUCGAGUGUGGUAGAGGCUAGUGGAAUUCCCAGUGUAGCGGUGAAAUGCGUAGAUAUUGGGAAGAACACCGGUGGCGUAGGCGACUAGCUGGGCCAUAACUGACGCUGAGGAACGAAAGCCAGGGGAGCGAAUGGGAUUAGAUACCCGUGUAGUCCC
RNAcentral lists this ribosomal RNA (453 nucleotides) under uncultured organism. Its description in RNAcentral is "partial 16S ribosomal RNA". It matches the Rfam family "Bacterial small subunit ribosomal RNA", at positions 330 to 797 of the family's 1533-position model. The record is from RNAcentral.